This is a long non-coding RNA of Camelina sativa (false flax), 383 nucleotides long. RefSeq lists it as uncharacterized. NCBI's taxonomy places the organism in Eukaryota, Viridiplantae, Streptophyta, Magnoliopsida, Brassicales, Brassicaceae. The record is from RefSeq and is a predicted model, not a curated record.
UGAUCUAGCAUUAUUUCUACUAUAUAUUUAAUCUAAGAACACCAAAAAUAGUUCCCUUUUACUGAUGCCCUAAUAAAAUCAGUUCUUUUCUGCCGCCUAUGUGACACGUAAUUAUCUUCUCUUCAAUGCUCGAUUAUCAAAUAUAAUAUUCUGAAACCCAGAAAGAAAAAAUCACGGUUCUAGCACCGGAUCUUCAGUGGCUGCUCACCGCCGGAUUCACGGGAAUAAAUUGUCUUCUUUGCUACAUCAUCUUCUCCAAUUUGAGAUGGAUGAUCAAGUACUUCGUUUGUUGUAUAUUUCUCUCUGGUCUUGCUGCCCAAUUCUGUAAAAAACGAAAUCCUUUUUUUUGGUGUUUAUGAGAUUUUUGUCUAAAAUUAUGUUGA